This is a long non-coding RNA of Chenopodium quinoa (quinoa), 1663 nucleotides long. RefSeq lists it as uncharacterized. The record is from RefSeq and is a predicted model, not a curated record. The transcript has 6 exons. NCBI's taxonomy places the organism in Eukaryota, Viridiplantae, Streptophyta, Magnoliopsida, Caryophyllales, Amaranthaceae.
UUUUUAUUAGGGUUUCACCUUUCAUCUAAUAGCCGCCAAUCCGUCAUUUACUCCCUCUCUCUCUCCUCUCCUCCCCGUCAUUCACCUCUUUCUCUCAUUUCGAACUUAGUCCUUCUCUCCUCUCCUCCAUCAAUCUUAGAGAAAAAAUGGUUAAAUUGGGGGUUUUGAUUUGCUUUAUAGAGUUUAUUGACGGGGGUUUUGAACUUGCGCAACAAUUUCUGGGAGCGUGUUGUUGUGGUUUGUUGCGAAGAGAUUGCACUUUCUGGUGGUCUUGUUAGGCAGAAGAUGAAGUAUCUUUGUUUUCUUCGUAAGAGGAUGAACACCAAACCUUCUCAUUCUAAGAUCUCCUAGUGUACUGUUCGAGGCGGAAGUAGAAAAAUGACGCCCACAUGGCUGUUAGGGAUUUGAAUCAAGCUCAGAAAAUUAGUUCAUCUUCAUUUAAAGCACGUUUCUGCAUGUCUGAAGCUCUAUCUCAGAUUUUGCUCUUGCAGCUCAGUCUCUGGAUCCCUCAAGAGCCGAAGCGUUGGAUAGUAUAGAAAGUAUACGUAAGGAGCUUUCAGCAGGAGGUGAAGUUGGAAGUGAAGCUUCCUUGGUUGCAUUGUACACGGCAGAUAACAUGUUGGACUUAGACACUUUUGAUGCCAACUCCGAGCUUAUGAUUAUGGGUGGGCUGAAGCGUGGUGUAACGCUGCCAUCAUUGGUUCGAUGAAGGGAAAGCAAGUUGGCUGAGGCUGCCAAAACACUAGAAGUGAAUGUGGGAAGCCAGGAACAGCACCUGAUGCUGACCUUGGUCCAGUCGUGAGCAAGUAGCCGAAGCAGAGGCACAAAUAGUAUGGUGUUUAUCACCUGCCACCUGCUAGGCUGGAGCUAAAGGGGAAUGUCCUCAAAAGUAGCUUGGUACAAGAAACUCUUGGGUGUUUGAGAAAAGGAGGAUAGAACCAGACUUAGUAUAUGCAAAAGCUCCAAAAUUUCUUGAUGAAGUGAAGCAGCUUGUGCUCAUGAAGAGUGCCCGUAGCCACUAUUUAGUAACUGUUUGGAAGCCACCUAAUGCAGGCUAGUAUAAGCUGUUAUGACUUGCAGACCUCAGACAGCUUAGUAUAGCAGCAAUUACACAUCAUUAUGUCUCUUUUUCUUAUAUAUCUUGCUUUUGGUUGAAUUAUUAAAGGAAUUAAAUGGAAUUGGAGUAAUUUCUUAUGUUUCGUUGGAAGCUUGGAAUGUUAGACUAAUUGUUGGAUAAUAAUUCGUGGGUUGAUUAGCAUAUUUAGUACUUUUGUUACAGAUGAAUUGGGUUACGAAUUGUAUGACAAUUGAUGUAUUUUAUGUUUCUAAGUUGGAAAUAUGUUUAUUUUGAUGAUUCUGCUAAAUGAUGAAUGUGAUUAUUUUUCAGGUUGUCUUGAAGAUUAAUUGGAGGUAACUUGAAGAUGGUGUUUGGAGGCAGCCUCGGAAUUGAGAUCAAAGUUGCAGCUACUCGGAAAAAUGGUGGAAGAUGUAAAUUAUUCAACACACUAUUUUAGAGGAAAAUAAUUUAAAUCUAAUGGUAGUCUUAUGUAAACUUGUUUAAUUAUUAUUACAAUUGAGAUUUCCUUUGUUUUAGUUAUUAGGAAAUAAUUAAAGCAGCUUUUGCGUGCUGAUUGUAUAUUACUCGGUAAUUAUUAAGUGUGUA